UUAAGUUCAGCGGGUAUUCCUACCUAAUCCGAGGUCAACCACUAGAAAUAUAGGGGGUUUUACGGCAGGCAGCUAGGGCGACUACAGAAGCGAGAAAAGAUUUACUACGCUCAGAGUACGCCAUAACUCCGCCACUGACUUUGAGGAGCUACGCUACAACCGUAGGCUCCCAACGCUAAGCUACAGGGCUUAAUGGUCGA
This 200-nucleotide unclassified non-coding RNA is filed under the name Annulohypoxylon sp. Its description in RNAcentral is "partial internal transcribed spacer 2". Lineage: Eukaryota; Fungi; Ascomycota; Sordariomycetes; Xylariales; Hypoxylaceae. The record is from RNAcentral.